GUACUGUAUGAAAGGAGAAAAAGUUAGAGUUUCUCUCAACAAGGAUAGAAGAGGCCCUUGGGUCUGACAACAAACAUACAGGUAAGGUACUGCCACCUACUUUGUGGCAUCUAACAAUGGUUAAAA
Small nuclear RNA from Cercocebus atys (sooty mangabey), 126 nucleotides. The record is from Ensembl. NCBI's taxonomy places the organism in Eukaryota, Metazoa, Chordata, Mammalia, Primates, Cercopithecidae.